This 75-nucleotide transfer RNA is filed under the name Candidatus Kuenenbacteria bacterium. RNAcentral's name for it is "tRNA-Glu". It matches the Rfam family "tRNA". From Rfam's summary of the family: Transfer RNA (tRNA) molecules are approximately 80 nucleotides in length. Their secondary structure includes four short double-helical elements and three loops (D, anti-codon, and T loops). The record is from RNAcentral. Lineage: Bacteria; Candidatus Kueneniibacteriota.
GGCCCGUUCGUCUAGUGACUAGGACACGUGGUUCUCAUCCACGUAACAGGAGUUUGAUUCUCCUACGGGCUACCA